GACGAACGCUGGCGGCGUGCUUAACACAUGCAAGUCGAACGGAAAGGCCCUGCUUUUGUGGGGUGCUCGAGUGGCGAACGGGUGAGUAACACGUGAGUAACCUGCCCUUGACUUUGGGAUAACUUCAGGAAACUGGGGCUAAUACCGGAUAGGAGCUCCUGCUGCAUGGUGGGGGUUGGAAAGUUUCGGCGGUUGGGGAUUGACUCGCGGCUUAUCAGCUUGUUGGUGGGGUAGUGGCUUACCAAGGCUUUGACGGGUAGCCGGCCUGAGAGGGUGACCGGCCACAUUGGGACUGAGAUACGGCCCAGCCUCCUACGCGAGGCAGCAGUGGGGAAUAUUGCACAAUGGGCGGAAGCCUGAUGCAGCAACGCCGCGUGCGGGAUGACGGCCUUCGGGUUGUGAACCGCUUUCGCCUGUGACGAAGCGUGAGUGACGGUAAUGGGUAAAGAAGCACCGGCUAACUACGUG
RNAcentral lists this ribosomal RNA (468 nucleotides) under uncultured bacterium. RNAcentral's name for it is "partial 16S ribosomal RNA". It matches the Rfam family "Bacterial small subunit ribosomal RNA", at positions 28 to 507 of the family's 1533-position model. The record is from RNAcentral.